RNAcentral lists this transfer RNA (67 nucleotides) under Marmota monax (woodchuck). RNAcentral describes it as "tRNA.Ala". The record is from RNAcentral. Lineage: Eukaryota; Metazoa; Chordata; Mammalia; Rodentia; Sciuridae.
GGUUGUAGCUCAGUGGAAGAUCACUUGCCUAGCACGUGUGAGGCACUGGGUUCAAUUCUCAGUACCA